RNAcentral lists this ribosomal RNA (157 nucleotides) under uncultured bacterium. RNAcentral's name for it is "partial 16S ribosomal RNA". It matches the Rfam family "Bacterial small subunit ribosomal RNA", at positions 197 to 353 of the family's 1533-position model. The record is from RNAcentral.
GAUAUCAAAGAUUUUAUCGCUUGAAGAUGGACUCGCGUCCGAUUAGUUAGUUGGUGAGGUAACGGCUCACCAAGACCGCGAUCGGUAGCCGGACUGAGAGGUUGAACGGCCACAUUGGGACUGAGACACGGCCCAGACUCCUACGGGAGGCAGCAUG